AAUGUAGAAAUCCUCAACAGUCGUAAUCUGAUGUUCAAAGAGUGAAGUUAAUGUGUUUGGAUGUAAUAGUAGAAAAGGGAUAAGAGCAAGAUGCUGACCAACACUGCACCUCUUGUUUUCAACUCAAGGACUUUUCCUAAUUCCAAAGUGGAUACAAGGAGCUUACAUAGAACUCUUGCACUUGUUUUACACACACUGAAAUAAUAACAUAGUUUGAAGGUAUAGAUUAGAAUGAAAUAAAUCAACUGAACCCUUUACCACAGUUGUGCUGGGUAUGUGUGCAUCUUUCUGGCUGGAUAGGAGAAAAUGUAUCAUGGUGAUGGAGUCUGUGAUUUGGAAGACUGAUUAUAUUCAUAGUCCCAGUAUGUGCAAAGUAUCAUGAAGGUAACAGCAGCCUUUGAUUUGAAUUUACUUUUAUUUAAGAAGAAUAGAGGCAUUUAAUCGAGUUGUAUCUGCUAAUCUUGACAAGACUAAGUAGGACUGAAACAACUGAAAAGGUUUGAGGUCUUUCAGUCUUGGGCACUAUAGUAUAAGAAGAACAUAAAACUGUUAGACAGCAUCCAAAGGAGGAUAAAAACGGUGAAGAGAAGACAGAUGAGGAGCAGUGGAAGUUCCUGGAUUGGUUCAGCCCAGAGCAGAAUUGAGGGGAGGCUUCAUGGGGCUGUAACUCCUCGCAGAGGGGCAGUGCUGAGCUCUGAUCUCUGUGACAGCGACAGGGCCCGAGGGAACGGCAUGGAGCUGUGUCAGGGAGGGGCAGCUGGGCGUCAGGGAAUGGUUCUUCACCACCAAGAAGCUGGUGGGCAUGGAAGAGGUCCUAAGAUGCUGGAGUUCAAGGAGUGUUUAGUGCUCUCAGAUAUAGAGUUUGAAUGUUGGAGCCAGGAGCUGGAUUUGAUGGGCUGUGUGAGUCCAUUUCAUCUCGAAGUAUUUUAUGAUUUUUUUUUCUUACAUUUUUUGCAGAGUUAUAUUGGAUGACAGUGGAAAGUGUUAGGAAUUAUCUUCUAAUAUUUUUUGAAGGAGUACUAUUACUUAUAUAAAGAUAGCUUCCUUUGAAGUCUGAACACAUUCCUUAGUGACUCCAGAGGCAAUAAGGUAAUGAUCGUUUUAUAUUUAAAAAAUGACUAGGGUGUAGGUAUCAGGAAAGUACUGGACUUCUUUUUAUCAUGCAGUCUUGUCUCAGGUCUUCACCAAAUGUUUAACAAAGACUAUUUUCAGACCAAAAUCAUAAUUAUGCCAAAGGACCUUAGUACUUAACCUUACUUUCUUGAGAUCUUGUGUAAAAACUAUUAAUUCUUAACGAUUUAAAAAAGGAAUCAAGUGAAUCUGCAUUUAAAAAGUAUUGUCUAGCCUGCUUGGUGAUAGUUGUCUUGUAAACCCAGGCACAAAUAGCUGCCAAAGCUGUUCCAUCUAUGGCUGUUGCUGCUUCUGGAAGAUAUUCUGUAAUCAGUUCUGAAUUUAUUACUUGGAAAUCACUUAAUGUUUGGUCUGUAAAUGUUUAUGUUUUCAGAAUAACUGCAGUAAAUCUGUUCUGCAGGUAUUACAUUAAUACUAGCUGAGUAUUGUUCUUAUUGCAUCUUUUAUUACCUUUUACAGUCUGAAAGCCUGAGAUUACUUCUUUGGUACUAUAAUCAGUUUUAAGGAGAUUUGCAAACACUUUUUUGGUUUAGAUCAUUGUAAAAUGUAGAAGUAGAUUUUCAUGUUUUUGGUAGCACUUGUGGGUUAGAGUGAGAUAACAUGUCUCAUUAUCUGUGGGUAGGAGGAAAUGAGAUGCAUGAGUAUGGUAUAAACACAUGUGCAUGUACCUGAAAUUUAUUACUGCCAUCUGGAAAACCGUAAAUCUAGUCAUGUUUGAGAGAUGAAGGAUUGUAGUGAUAUCUCUUAGAAGUUGGUUGGCAGAAGAGACAGGUCUGGUUAGGGACAGCUAUGCUCCAUUUCCCAAUAUGUGUGGGUAUAGUGGUGACAUUCCUUGUCUCCAUAGCAUCUGAAGCUAUUUGGCUGCCUCUUGAGAGUCCAGUGAGCUGCUGAGUGCAGAACAAAGGGACAUUCUUCCAAUACUAGUUUGCCUAAUACUUACCUACUCUAGCUGUCUCCUUUUGCUUAUGCAGUAAGUUUUUUCUAGGCACUCUGAAGGCUGAAAUCCUACUUCUGUAACUUUAUAACUUGAGUAAUAAAACUUUUUAAGGCUUUGCCUGAAAAUGUCACUUUUCUGCUUGAGAAACCUUGUUUUUGGAAUAUUUAAAUCUGGUGUGUAGUAGGAUUUAUGCUUGGAGACAGAGGUAAUUGCUGAGGCAUGGAAAAGCACCUUUACUUAAAAAUUCAGCACUUUUUUCCAGGUAAAGAAAAGAAAUAGUGCAAGUAAAUGAAGUGAGGAAUGUUUAUGAAUUAGGUGUGAUAUAAAGAAAUGAAUUUCUGAGUCAGCAACCUGAAUUGCUGGAAAUGUUUCUAUAUUUGAACUGAAUGUCAGAGAUGCCCUUGUCAAUAUUAAAUCCCAGCUAAAAACACUCCCUUAUGUAUAUGUAUGGAGCAUGGCAGAUUCUUCAAAAGAAUUGAACUAAUCUGUAAGUGCACUCUUUGAAAGAUUACAUGUGCUAGUGUAGAUUUUUCUUCUUUUCAAAGGCAAGAAGCAAAAUAGCCAAGUGGUUUCUUAGAGAACUUUAAGAAUUAACUAGUUAUUAAUUGCUCAUUUACUAUCUGUGUCAUGAAACCUUAUGUUUUCUUUGCCACUAGUCUAUGUAUUAUUGGUGAAUUUUAAAGGAAAAAGCACUUUUCUCUCAAGUGCAGUCUUGGCCACCCUCCUACAGGGCAAAGCGUGAAGAAGAUGCUGUACUAUGCUUAGCUUCAUUCUGUUGUCUAAUUCUGUUAUUAUGUUUUUGGAUAGAGCAUUAUCACUUCCUUAGUGCUUCUAAAUAUUUUGGAUACAAUGCCAUUGUGGCAGCAAUUUCAUUUAGUACUUAUCAGGAGUUCUUUAAUACUGUAACUGGAAUCAACAGCAACAGUUAUUCUACUGUGCUCUUGAAAGAGAUUUGGGUAAAUUGGCUCACAGUAAACAUACUAAUGGUGUAGUUUAGCUGGCCCUCAAAUCUAUGUAGGUCACAAGGAACACUUGUAGUUAUCACUUCUGAUUGAAAGUGAGGGAUUUUUCUGUGGGAGAUUGAAAAUGAUAGUAUCUUCUUUGUUAUCUGAA
This is a non-coding RNA of Meleagris gallopavo (turkey), 3181 nucleotides long. Lineage: Eukaryota; Metazoa; Chordata; Aves; Galliformes; Phasianidae. The record is from RefSeq and is a predicted model, not a curated record.